CCCGCACAAGCAGUGGAGUAUGUGGUUUAAUUCGAAGCAACGCGAAGAACCUUACCAGGGCUUGACAUCCCUUGAAGCAGCUAGAGAUAGCUGUGUCCUUCGGGACAAGGAGACAGGUGGUGCAUGGUUGUCGUCAGCUCGUGUCGUGAGAUGUUGGGUUAAGUCCCGCAACGAGCGCAACCCCUGCCCUUAGUUGCCAUCGGGUCACGCCGGGAACUCUAAGGGGACCGCCCCGGACAACGGGGAGGAAGGUGGGGAUGACGUCAAGUCAGCAUGGCCUUUAUGUCCAGGGCUACACACACGCUACAAUGGCCAGCACAGUAGGUUGCUAAGCCGCGAGGUGGAGCCAAUCCAUAAAGCUGGUCUCAGUUCAGAUUGCAGGCUGCAACCCGCCUGCAUGAAGAUGGAGUUGCUAGUAACCGCAGGUCAGCUAUACUGCGGUGAAUACGUUCCCGGGGCUU
Molecule: ribosomal RNA, 461 nt
Filed under: uncultured Sedimentibacter sp.
Lineage: Bacteria; Bacillati; Bacillota; Tissierellia
Description: bacterial SSU rRNA
Rfam family: Bacterial small subunit ribosomal RNA
Source: RNAcentral